This 253-nucleotide ribosomal RNA is filed under the name uncultured bacterium. RNAcentral describes it as "partial 16S ribosomal RNA". It matches the Rfam family "Bacterial small subunit ribosomal RNA", at positions 524 to 776 of the family's 1533-position model. The record is from RNAcentral.
UACGGGGGGGGCAAGCGUUGUUCGGAAUUACUGGGCGUAAAGGGUUCGUAGGCGGCGUGCUAAGUCAGACGUGAAAUCCCUCAGCUUAACUGGGGAACUGUGUCUGAGACUGGCAGGCUCGAGUGCAGGAGAGGAACGCGGAAUUCCAGGUGUAGCGGUGAAAUGCGUAGAUAUCUGGAGGAACACCGGUGGCGAAGGCGGCGUUCUGGACUGCAACUGACGCUGAGGCGCGAAAGCUAGGGGAGCAAACAGG